GGUGACGGGAGAAGGUGGGAGGAGUCCCCAGUCCUGUGUGGGUGGCUAAGGGGCGGUGACGGGAGAAGGUGGGAGGAGUCCCCAGUCCUGUGUGGGUGGCUAAGGGGCGGUGACGGGAGAAGGUGGGAGGAGUACCCAGUCCUGUGUGGGUGGCUAAGGGCGGUGACGGGAGAAGGUGGGAGGAGUCCCAAGUCCUGUGUGGGUGGCUAAGGGGCGGUGACGGGAGAAGGUGGGAGGAGUCCCCAGUCCUGUGUGGGUGGCUAAGAGGAGUCCCCAGUCCUGUGUGGGUGGCUAAGGGGCGGUGACGGGAGAAGGUGGGAGGAGUCCCCAGUCCUGUGUGGGUGGCUAGGGGGCGGUGUCGGGAGAAGGUGGGAGGAGUCCCAAGUCCUGUGUGGGUGGCUAAGGGGCGGUGACGGGAGAAGGUGGGAGGAGUCCCCAGUCCUGUGUGGGUGGCUAAGGGGCGGUGACGGGAGAAGGUGAGAGGAGUCCCCAGUCCUGUGUGGGUGGCUAAGGGGCAGUGAUGGGAGAAGGUGGGAGGAGUCCCCAGUCCUGUGUGGGUGGCUAAGAGGAGUCCCCAGUCCUGUGUGGGUGGCUAAGGGGCGGUGACGGGAGAAGGUGGGAGGAGUCCCCAGUCCUGUGUGGGUGGCUAAGGGGCGGUGACGGGAGAAGGUGGGAGGAGUCCCCAGUCCUGUGUGGGUGGCUAAGGGGCGGUGACGGGAGAAGGUGGGAGGAGUCCCCAGUCCUGUCACACAUCAAACCAUCACUCUUUUCAUUAAUGUCUUCUCUUCUCUUUCCUGUUCUUCUCUGUUCUGUCUCUCAGCUUGUGGCCACCAUGUUUGCUUCUUUCUGGCGCAGUCUCUCU
Long non-coding RNA from Oncorhynchus tshawytscha (Chinook salmon), 862 nucleotides. NCBI's taxonomy places the organism in Eukaryota, Metazoa, Chordata, Actinopteri, Salmoniformes, Salmonidae. The record is from Ensembl.